CCUGUCUAUUACAAAUGGAUGCCACGACAAAACUGCUCCUGUGGAUAUUGUGACAAAUCACCGUCAAUUUACCAAACAAUACACACUCUGUAAAAACUCCUGUAUCCCUUCUGGUGGAAUUAUAAUCUACAAUCUUCA
Molecule: long non-coding RNA, 138 nt
Organism: Mytilus californianus (California mussel)
Lineage: Eukaryota; Metazoa; Mollusca; Bivalvia; Mytilida; Mytilidae
Exons: 2
Source: RefSeq, a predicted model, not a curated record